Long non-coding RNA from Brassica napus (rape), 423 nucleotides. RefSeq lists it as uncharacterized. Lineage: Eukaryota; Viridiplantae; Streptophyta; Magnoliopsida; Brassicales; Brassicaceae. The record is from RefSeq and is a predicted model, not a curated record. The transcript is spliced from 3 exons.
AAUUUCAUGGUGGCAGCUGCACACGAGGAAAGGGCCUCAACAAGCUACAUCAGGACAAUAAUGGGUCCUAAUGGAACAACUGUUUAAUUUCCCAUUGACAAAGUGCCUAGCCUGUUUGAUCCCAAACCAUCUGGUCUCAAAUGUUACAAGGCAGUUCAGGAGCAGCAUCAGUAGCAGACUGCACCGGUUUAGAUAUUGAUUUGAUUUUUUCUGAUACAAAAGGUCAAGAACUCAGCUCUCUGAGUUUAUAGAGAUUACAUGACAUGUUUUAGUUUUUCUUUUGCUUUGCUUCAGACUUGUCUGAUUGGAUAUAGUUCAUUUUUCAUAUGUGAGAUGAGCUCAUGUUUAUUUGAAUUUUUAUUUAGGCUUUUCUUUCAUGUUUGUUUAAAAUUUCUAAUAAUAAAUUUGUAUUUCUGUUUUUAA